This 497-nucleotide ribosomal RNA is filed under the name uncultured bacterium. RNAcentral describes it as "partial 16S ribosomal RNA". It matches the Rfam family "Bacterial small subunit ribosomal RNA", at positions 28 to 507 of the family's 1533-position model. The record is from RNAcentral.
GAUGAACGCUGGCGGCGUGCCUAAUACAUGCAAGUCGAGCGAACAGACGAGGAGCUUGCUCCUCUGACGUUAGCGGCGGACGGGUGAGUAACACGUGGAUAACCUACCUAUAAGACUGGGAUAACUUCGGGAAACCGGAGCUAAUACCGGAUAAUAUAUCGAACCGCAUGGUUCGAUAGUGAAAGAUGGCUCUGCUAUCACUUAUAGAUGGACCUGCGCCGUAUUAGCUAGUUGGUAAGGUAACGGCUUACCAAGGCAACGAUACGUAGCCGACCUGAGAGGCUGAUCGGCCACACUGGAACUGCGACACGGUCCAGACUCCUACGGGAGGCAGCAGUAGGGAAUCUUCCGCCAUGGGCGAGAGCCUGACCGAGCAACGCCGCGUGAGUGAUGAAGGUCUUCGGAUCGUAAAACUCUGUUAUUAGGGAAGAACAACCGUGUAAUUAACUGUGCCCGUCUUGACGGUCCCUACUCAGAAAGCCACGCCUCACUACGUG